AAUGAGCGCUGGCGGCGCGCCUAAUACAUGCAAGUCGAGCGAGAAGACGUAGCAAUACGUUUGUAAAGCGGCGAACGGGUGAGGAAUACAUGGGUAACCUACCCUCGAGUGGGGAAUAACUAGCCGAAAGGUUAGCUAAUACCGCGUACGCUCCUUGGACUUCGGUUCAGGGAGGAAAGCGAUACCGUGGGUAUCGCGCUCUUGGUUGGGCUCAUGUCCUAUCAGCUUGNGGUGAGGUAACGGCUCACCAAGGCUUCGACGGGUAGCUGGUCUGAGAGGACGAUCAGCCACACUGGCACUGCGACACGGGCCAGACUCCUACGGGAGGCAGCAGUAAGGAAUAUUGCGCAAUGGGCGAAAGCCUGACGCAGCGACGCCGCGUGGGGGAUGAAGGUCUUCGGAUUGUAAACCCCUUUCGGGAGGGAAGAUGGAACGAGCAAUCGUUCGGACGGUACCUCCAGAAGCAGCCACGGCUAACUUCGUGCCAGCAGCCGCCGUAA
RNAcentral lists this ribosomal RNA (500 nucleotides) under uncultured bacterium. RNAcentral describes it as "bacterial SSU rRNA". It matches the Rfam family "Bacterial small subunit ribosomal RNA", at positions 29 to 523 of the family's 1533-position model. The record is from RNAcentral.